RNAcentral lists this ribosomal RNA (612 nucleotides) under Lactiplantibacillus paraplantarum. RNAcentral's name for it is "bacterial SSU rRNA". It matches the Rfam family "Bacterial small subunit ribosomal RNA", at positions 60 to 637 of the family's 1533-position model. Lineage: Bacteria; Bacillati; Bacillota; Bacilli; Lactobacillales; Lactobacillaceae. The record is from RNAcentral.
AGUCGAACGAACUCUGGUAUUGAUUGGUGCUUGCAUCAUGAUUUACAUUUGAGUGAGUGGCGAACUGGUGAGUAACACGUGGGAAACCUGCCCAGAAGCGGGGGAUAACACCUGGAAACAGAUGCUAAUACCGCAUAACAACUUGGACCGCAUGGUCCGAGCUUGAAAGAUGGCUUCGGCUAUCACUUUUGGAUGGUCCCGCGGCGUAUUAGCUAGAUGGUGGGGUAACGGCUCACCAUGGCAAUGAUACGUAGCCGACCUGAGAGGGUAAUCGGCCACAUUGGGACUGAGACACGGCCCAAACUCCUACGGGAGGCAGCAGUAGGGAAUCUUCCACAAUGGACGAAAGUCUGAUGGAGCAACGCCGCGUGAGUGAAGAAGGGUUUCGGCUCGUAAAACUCUGUUGUUAAAGAAGAACAUAUCUGAGAGUAACUGUUCAGGUAUUGACGGUAUUUAACCAGAAAGCCACGGCUAACUACGUGCCAGCAGCCGCGGUAAUACGUAGGUGGCAAGCGUUGUCCGGAUUUAUUGGGCGUAAAGCGAGCGCAGGCGGUUUUUUAAGUCUGAUGUGAAAGCCUUCGGCUCAACCGAAGAAGUGCAUCGGAAACUGGG